AACCCCCUAGCCCUCCUUCCUCAGAUCCGGCGCUGCCACCUUGAAAUUCGCGUCAAACCGCUGCCCCGCCGCCACUUGUCACCUCCCCGUAGGCCAGCGCCGCCGCCAGCCUCGCCCUCCACCUCUCCCUACUUGCCACGUGGCCCCUACCCGCUCCCUCCGCCGCGGCCCUGCGAAGCCCGCGGGAGGCCCGCCCGGGCCCGACCGUAUCGCUCCCCGCAAACUACAUCGCCCCGAGCUCCAGAUCGGGAGAGGAGCUCCCGAUCCAGAGCCCUCGCCAACCUGUCGUCGCAUUCCUCCGCGCCGCCAUGCCAGAACCCCGCCACUGGGAUCCGUCGCCAUCGCUCUAGUCGGAGAGGGCCUAGAGCUCGCCGGCGCCGGAAAUGGGUCCCCGGAGCCAGAUCCGGCCUCUACCACUCCGGAUCUGCCAACCCUGUGCGUUGGACCUCGCCGGAGUCGCGCCAAACCGCCGUCGUCAUCCUGCCUCGUUCGGUGCAGCCUCGUCGCGCCCUCCUGCCUGUGUUGACCGAGGCCGCGCCAGGCCCAGAUCCAGCGCGCCCCUUUCCGGCCUCUCUCCACCGGCCGGGCCAAGGCCCAUGGUUGCAGGUGCCGAUGAUACCAGUGUAGGUGACGCUACCGAACUCAAGUGGGAGUUCGACGAGGACCUUGGUUGUUACUAUGUUUCGUUUCCUGAU
This is a long non-coding RNA of Triticum aestivum (bread wheat), 695 nucleotides long. RefSeq lists it as uncharacterized. The transcript has 3 exons. The record is from RefSeq and is a predicted model, not a curated record. Lineage: Eukaryota; Viridiplantae; Streptophyta; Magnoliopsida; Poales; Poaceae.